This 760-nucleotide ribosomal RNA is filed under the name uncultured Ascomycota. Its description in RNAcentral is "LSU rRNA". It matches the Rfam family "Eukaryotic large subunit ribosomal RNA", at positions 399 to 1180 of the family's 3401-position model. Lineage: Eukaryota; Fungi; Ascomycota. The record is from RNAcentral.
GUGAAAUUGUUGAAAGGGAAGCGCUUGCAACCAGACUUGCACGCUGUUGAUCAUCCAGGCUUCUGUUUGGUGCACUCAACUGCGUUCAGGCCAGCAUCGGUUUUGGUGGUGGGAUAAAGGCCUUGGGAAUGUAGCUUCUUUCGGGGAGUGUUAUAGCCCUCGGUGCAAUGCCGCCUACCGGGACCGAGGACCGCGCUUCGGCUAGGAUGCUGGCGUAAUGGUUGUAAGCGACCCGUCUUGAAACACGGACCAAGGAGUCUAACAUCUAUGCGAGUGUUUGGGUGUCAAACCCAUACGCGUAAUUAACGUGAACGGAGGUGAGAACCCUUAAGGGUGCAUCAUCGACCGAUCCUGAUGUCUUCGGAUGGAUUUGAGUAAGAGCAUAGCUGUUGGGACCCGAAAGAUGGUGAACUAUGCCUGAAUAGGGUGAAGCCAGAGGAAACUCUGGUGGAGGCUCGCAGCGGUUCUGACGUGCAAAUCGAUCGUCAAAUUUGGGUAUAGGGGCGAAAGACUAAUCGAACCAUCUAGUAGCUGGUUCCUGCCGAAGUUUCCCUCAGGAUAGCAGUGUUGAAUUCAGUUUUAUGAGGUAAGGCGAAUGAUUAGAGGCCUUGGGGUUGCAACAACCUUAACCUAUUCUCAAACUUUAAAUAUGUAAGAAGUCCUUGUUACUUAAUUGAACGUGGACAUUCGAAUGUACCAACACUAGUGGGCCAUUUUUGGUAAGCAGAACUGGCGAUGCCCGAUGAACCGAACGUGAAGU